This 386-nucleotide ribosomal RNA is filed under the name uncultured bacterium. RNAcentral's name for it is "bacterial SSU rRNA". It matches the Rfam family "Bacterial small subunit ribosomal RNA", at positions 28 to 416 of the family's 1533-position model. The record is from RNAcentral.
GACGAACGCUGGCGGCGUGCUUAACACAUGCAAGUCGAGCGGUAAGGCCCUUUCGGGGGUACACGAGCGGCGAACGGGUGAGUAACACGUGGGUGACCUGCCCUCAGCUCUGGGAUAAGCCUGGGAAACCGGGUCUAAUACUGGAUAUGACUCCAUGACGCAUGUUGUGGGGUGGAAAGCCUUGUGCGGCUGAGGAUGGGCCCGCGGCCUAUCAGCUUGUUGGUGGGGUGAGGCCUACCAAGGCGACGGCGGGUAGCCGGCCUGAGAGGGCGACCGGCCACACUGGGACUGAGACACGGCCCAGACUCCUACGGGAGGCAGCAGUGGGGAAUCUUGCGCAAUGGGCGAAAGCCUGACGCAGCGACGCCGCGUGAGGGAUGACGGCC